Molecule: ribosomal RNA, 253 nt
Filed under: uncultured bacterium
Lineage: Bacteria
Description: partial 16S ribosomal RNA
Rfam family: Bacterial small subunit ribosomal RNA
Source: RNAcentral
UACGGAGGGGACUAGCGUUGUUCGGAAUUACUGGGCGUAAAGGGCUCGUAGGCGGCCAACUAAGUCGGACGUGAAAUCCCCAGGCUCAACCUGGGAACUGCGUCCGAUACUGGAUGGCUUGAAUCCGGGAGAGGGAUGCAGAAUUCCAGGUGUAGCGGUGAAAUGCGUAGAUAUCUGGAGGAAUACCGGUGGCGAAGGCGGCAUCCUGGACCGGCAUUGACGCUGAGGAGCGAAAGCCAGGGGAGCAAACGGG